This is a small nucleolar RNA of Protopterus annectens (West African lungfish), 70 nucleotides long. RefSeq annotates it as small nucleolar RNA SNORD2. The record is from RefSeq and is a predicted model, not a curated record. NCBI's taxonomy places the organism in Eukaryota, Metazoa, Chordata, Ceratodontiformes, Protopteridae. The transcript has a single exon.
GAGUGAAAUGAUGCUUUUAUCAUCUUUCGGGUCUGACCUGAAAUGAAGAAUUUUUUUGUUCUGAUCACUU